RNAcentral lists this ribosomal RNA (866 nucleotides) under Nigrospora macarangae. RNAcentral's name for it is "partial large subunit ribosomal RNA". It matches the Rfam family "Eukaryotic large subunit ribosomal RNA", at positions 69 to 962 of the family's 3401-position model. The record is from RNAcentral. Lineage: Eukaryota; Fungi; Ascomycota; Sordariomycetes; Amphisphaeriales; Apiosporaceae.
CAGGGAUUCCCCUAGUAACGGCGAGUGAAGCGGGAACAGCUCAAAUUUGAAAUCUGGCCCUUGGGUCCGAGUUGUAAUUUGUAGAGGAUGCUUUUGGUGCGGUGCCUUCCGAGUUCCCUGGAACGGGACGCCUUAGAGGGUGAGAGCCCCGUACGGUUGGACGCCUAGCCUCUGUAAAGCUCCUUCGACGAGUCGAGUAGUUUGGGAAUGCUGCUCUAAAUGGGAGGUAUAUUUCUUCUAAAGCUAAAUACUGGCCAGAGACCGAUAGCGCACAAGUAGAGUGAUCGAAAGAUGAAAAGCACUUUGAAAAGAGGGUUAAAUAGCACGUGAAAUUGUUGAAAGGGAAGCGUUUAUCACCAGACUUUUUCUAGGGGGAUCAUCCGGGGUUCUCUCCGGUGCACUUCCCCUAGUUGAGGCCAGCAUCGGUUUUCGGAGGGGGAUAAAAGCUUCGGGAAUGUGACUCCCUCGGGAGUGUUAUAGCCCGUUGCAUAAUACCCUUCUGGGGACCGAGGUUCGCGCAUCUGCAAGGAUGCUGGCAUAAUGGUGAUCAACGACCCGUCUUGAAACACGGACCAAGGAGUCGAACAUUUAUGCGAGUGUUUGGGUGUUAAACCCUCACGCGUAAUGAAAGUGAACGGAGGUGAGAGCCCUUACGGGUGCAUCAUCGACCGAUCCUGAUGUCUUCGGAUGGAUUUGAGUAAGAGCAUAACUGUUCGGACCCGAAAGAUGGUGAACUAUGCGUGGAUAGGGUGAAGCCAGGAGAAAUCCUGGUGGAGGCUCGCAGCGGUUCUGACGUGCAAAUCGAUCGUCAAAUCUGCGCAUGGGGGCGAAAGACUAAUCGAACCAUCUAGUAGCUGGUUACCGCC